UGGAGGUUUGAAAAAUUCACCUGUUGAGUUUGUUUUAUCGGUUUUACGUUUCAGUCGCGCGAUCGGCCGCAAACGAAACAGGUGUAUGAGCUAAACUGCAUGCGAGACUCGCGUUGUGAUAAGAGUAAAAAAAACGUUGAAAUUGUGGCGAACCCGAAGUGCAACUUGAAGCAACAACAUGGCCUCCAGCAACAGCAACAGCAGCACCAAAACCAACAACAACAGCAGCACCACCAACAGUGAUUUGGAUUGUCAAGUGAAUGUGGAGGAUUUGCCCAUAACCUUCAAGGUCAAAUACAUUGGCUCGGAGGCAUCACGUGGCCUUUGGGGCAUUAAAUACACACGUCGCCCCGUUGAUAUUAUGGUGGGCGUGGCCAAGAAUCUGCCGCCCAACAAGGUGCUGCCCAACUGCGAUCUGAAGGUGUCCACAACGGGAGUUCAGCUGGAGAUCAUCUCGCCCAAGGCGAGCAUCAACAACUGGAGCUAUCCCAUCGAUACGAUCUCUUAUGGUGUACAGGAUUUGGUUUACACACGUGUCUUUGCCAUGAUCGUGGUCAAGGAUGAGGCGAGUCCGCAUCCUUUUGAGGUGCAUGCCUUUGUCUGUGACAGUCGCGCCAUGGCACGCAAAUUGACCUUUGCCCUGUCCGCCGCCUUCCAGGACUAUUCGCGAGUCGUGAAGGAAGCAUCAGGCGAGGAUACGGUUGAUAAUACGGGAGCCACACACAACGACAUCAUAACGCCCACGAGACAAAAGUUCGCCAUUGAUCUGCGUACGCCCGAAGAGAUUCAGGCUGGAGAACUGGAUCAGGAAACGGAGGCGUAGGGAAAACCCCUCCCCUUUUUCUAUCUAUCAGUAUAUGUGUAUUUUUUUUAUGUGUGAUUGUCAUAGUUACUUAUUGUACAGUACAGUAGUUGCAGUUGCCUUUGUUAUUAUCUAUCCUCUCUCUCUCUCUCUCUCUCUCUGUAUCUUUAUCACUAUCUCUCACCUGGUAGUAGCCUCAUACAGCUAAUUACCCAAAGCAUAAGCAUUAAAACAACUGUAAACAACAAAUAAUCUUUUUACGUAAAAAUAAAA
Molecule: RNA transcript, 1075 nt
Organism: Drosophila innubila
Lineage: Eukaryota; Metazoa; Arthropoda; Insecta; Diptera; Drosophilidae
Exons: 4
Source: RefSeq, a predicted model, not a curated record